GGCUCAGGACGAACGCUGGCGGCGUGCCUAACACAUGCAAGUCGAGCGGGGACAUUGCGACGGACAUGAAGUUUUCGGAUGGAUUGAAAGAUGUAAUGUUCUAGCGGCGGACGGGUGAGUAACGCGUGAGCAACCUGUCCCUUACAGGGGGAUAACACAGCGAAAGUUGUACUAAUACCGCAUGAGACCACAGAGCGACAUCGCUUAGGGGUCAAAGGAGUAAUCCGGUAAGGGGUGGGCUCGCGUCCGAUUAGAUAGUUGGUGAGGUAACGGCCCACCAAGUCGACGAUCGGUAGCCGACCUGAGAGGGUGAUCGGCCACAUUGGGACUGAGACACGGCCCAAACUCCUACGGGAGGCAGCAGUGGGGAAUAUUGGGCAAUGGGGGAAACCCUGACCCAGCAACGCCGCGUGAGGGAAGAAGGUUUUCGGAUCGUAAACCUCUGUCCUUGGUGAAGAGAAAGAGACGGUAGCCAAGGAGGAAGCCCCGGCUAACUACGUGCCAGCAGCCGCGGUAAUACGUAGGGGGCGAGCGUUGUCCGGAAUGAUUGGGCGUAAAGGGCGCGUAGGCGGCCCGGUAAGUCUGAAGUGAAAGUCCUGCUUUUAAGGUGGGAAUUGCUUUGGAUACUGUCGGGCUUGAGUGCAGGAGAGGUAAGUGGAAUUCCCAGUGUAGCGGUGAAAUGCGUAGAGAUUGGGAGGAACACCAGUGGCGAARGCGACUUACUGGACUGUAACUGACGCUGAGGCGCGAAAGUGUGGGGAGCAAACAGGAUUAGAUACCCUGGUAGUCCACACUGUAAACGAUGAAUGCUAGGUGUAGGGGGUAUCGACCCCUUCUGUGCCGCAGUUAACACAAUAAGCAUUCCGCCUGGGGAGUACGGCCGCAAGGUUGAAACUCAAAGGAAUUGACGGGGGCCCGCACAAGCAGCGGAGCAUGUGGUUUAAUUCGACGCAACGCGAAGAACCUUACCAGGUCUUGACAUCCAGUAAAACUUGUAGAGAUACAUCGUGUCUUCGGACAUACUGAGACAGGUGGUGCAUGGUUGUCGUCAGCUCGUGUCGUGAGAUGUUGGGUUAAGUCCCGCAACGAGCGCAACCCUUAUUUUCAGUUACUAACAGGUAAAGCUGAGGACUCUGAAGAGACUGCCGGGGACAACUCGGAGGAAGGUGGGGACGACGUCAAAUCAUCAUGCCCCUUAUGACCUGGGCUACACACGUGCUACAAUGGCCACCACAGA
Molecule: ribosomal RNA, 1237 nt
Filed under: uncultured bacterium
Lineage: Bacteria
Description: bacterial SSU rRNA
Rfam family: Bacterial small subunit ribosomal RNA
Source: RNAcentral